UUCCAGACUCCUACGGGAGGCAGCAGUGAGGAAUAUUGGUCAAUGGGCGGGAGCCUGAACCAGCCAAGCCGCGUGAAGGAAGAAGGCGCCAGGCGUCGUAAACUUCUUUUGUCGGGGAACAAAGGGCGCCACGUGUGGCGUUGUGAGUGUACCCGAAGAAAAAGCAUCGGCUAACUCCGUGCCAGCAGCCGCGGUAAUACGGAGGAUGCGGGCGUUAUCCGGAUUUAUUGGGUUUAAAGGGUGCGUAGGCGGUCCGGAAAGUCAGCGGUAAAAGCCCGGGGCUCAACCCCGGCCGGCCGUUGAAACUGGCGUGCUCGAGUUGGAGAGAAGUAUGCGGAAUUCGUGGUGUAGCGGUGAAAUGCAUAGAUAUCACGAAGAACCCCGAUUGCGAAGGCAGCAUACCGGCUCCACACUGACGCUGAGGCACGAAAGCGUGGGUAUCGAACAGGAUUAGAUACCCUUGUAUA
This 467-nucleotide ribosomal RNA is filed under the name uncultured bacterium. RNAcentral's name for it is "partial 16S ribosomal RNA". It matches the Rfam family "Bacterial small subunit ribosomal RNA", at positions 329 to 794 of the family's 1533-position model. The record is from RNAcentral.